This 190-nucleotide unclassified non-coding RNA is filed under the name uncultured Ascomycota. Its description in RNAcentral is "sequence contains ITS1". Lineage: Eukaryota; Fungi; Ascomycota. The record is from RNAcentral.
AAGAGUUAGGGUCCCUCGCGGCCCGACCUCCCAACCCUUUGUCUACCAAACCAUUUGUUGCUUCGGCGAGCCCGUCCUCACGGACCGCCGGGGGGCCCUCACCGGCCCCCUGGCCCGCGCUCGUCGGUGGCCCAAACCACAAAUUCUAAUUAAACGUGUCUUGACUAAGUAUAAAUUUUUAAUUAAAGCA